AGAGCAUGCCAGAGUAGAGAAACUGCCCUUAAGAUCCUAUGAGGCGAAAAUAGUUCUACCACAUUCUACGCAUUCUACGUGUACUUACUGCACUUAUAUCGCACCAAUAUUGCUAAAACUCAUCAUCUUUGUUCCUGAUUCCCUAUCCUGAUGAUGUUACCAAUAAAGAAAGUUAUUUUCGUA
Long non-coding RNA from Xenopus laevis (African clawed frog), 183 nucleotides. RefSeq lists it as uncharacterized. Lineage: Eukaryota; Metazoa; Chordata; Amphibia; Anura; Pipidae. The transcript has 2 exons. The record is from RefSeq and is a predicted model, not a curated record.